Molecule: ribosomal RNA, 464 nt
Filed under: uncultured bacterium
Lineage: Bacteria
Description: partial 16S ribosomal RNA
Rfam family: Bacterial small subunit ribosomal RNA
Source: RNAcentral
CCUAGGGGGGGCAGCAGUAGGGAAUUUUCGUCAAUGGGCGCAAGCCUGAACGAGCAAUGCCGCGUGAACGAGGAAGGUCUUCGGAUCGUAAAGUUCUGUUGAAGGGGAAAAAGAGCGGAGAGAGGAAAUGGUCUCCGAUUGAUAUUACCCUUCGAGGAAGUCACGGCUAACUACGUGCCAGCAGCCGCGGUAAUACGGAGGAUGCGAGCGUUAUCCGGAUUUAUUGGGUUUAAAGGGUGCGUAGGCGGGCUUUUAAGUCAGCGGUAAAAAUUCGGGGCUCAACCCCGUCCGGCCGUUGAAACUGGGGGCCUUGAGUGGGCGAGAAGAAGGCGGAAUGCGUGGUGUAGCGGUGAAAUGCAUAGAUAUCACGCAGAACCCCGAUUGCGAAGGCAGCCUUCCGGCGCCCUACUGACGCUGAGGCACGAAAGUGCGGGGAUCGAACAGGAUUAGAUACCCGAGUAGUC